This 85-nucleotide transfer RNA is filed under the name Felis catus (domestic cat). It matches the Rfam family "tRNA". From Rfam's summary of the family: Transfer RNA (tRNA) molecules are approximately 80 nucleotides in length. Their secondary structure includes four short double-helical elements and three loops (D, anti-codon, and T loops). RNAcentral also lists the same sequence under 3 other names. The record is from Rfam by way of RNAcentral. Lineage: Eukaryota; Metazoa; Chordata; Mammalia; Carnivora; Felidae.
GCCUGGGUGGCUCAGUAGGUUAAGCAUCUGACUUCGGCUCAGGUCAUGAUCUCACAGUUUGUGAGUUCGAGCCCCGCAUCAGGCU